This 461-nucleotide ribosomal RNA is filed under the name uncultured bacterium. RNAcentral's name for it is "bacterial SSU rRNA". It matches the Rfam family "Bacterial small subunit ribosomal RNA", at positions 331 to 793 of the family's 1533-position model. The record is from RNAcentral.
CCAGACUCCUACGGGAGGCAGCAGUGGGGAAUAUUGCACAAUGGGGGGAACCCUGAUGCAGCGACGCCGCGUGGGUGAAGGAGCACCUCGGUGCGUAAAGCCCUAUCGGCAGGGAAGAAAAGCGAACAGGUUCGCCUGGACGGUACCUGACUAAGAAGCCCCGGCUAACUACGCGCCAGCAGCCGCGGUAAUACGUAGGGGGCAAGCGUUAUCCGGAUUCACUGGGUGUAAAGGGAGCGUAGACGGCGAUACAAGUCUGAAGUGAAAGCCCGGGGCUCAACCCCGGGACUGCUUUGGAAACUGUGUUGCUGGAGUGCUGGAGAGGCAAGCGGAAUUCCUAGUGUAGCGGUGAAAUGCGUAGAUAUUAGGAAGAACACCAGUGGCGAAGGCGGCUUGCUGGACAGUAACUGACGUUGAGGCUCGAAAGCGUGGGGAGCAAACAGGAUUAGAUACCCGUGUAC